RNAcentral lists this ribosomal RNA (2421 nucleotides) under wastewater metagenome. Its description in RNAcentral is "bacterial LSU rRNA". It matches the Rfam family "Bacterial large subunit ribosomal RNA", at positions 582 to 2925 of the family's 2925-position model. The record is from RNAcentral.
AGUUGACGCCUGUGAUGGCGUGCCUUUUGCAUAAUGAGCCAACGAGUUAAUGUCAUAAGCGAGGUUAAGUAUUAGAGGUAUGUAGCCGUAGCGAAAGCGAGUCCGAAGAGGGCGUAUAAGUUUAUGGUAUUAGACCCGAAACCAGGUGAUCUACCUAUGGUCAGGUUGAAAGUUGGGUAAAACCAACUGGAGGACCGCACCAACCGUCGUUGAAAAGGCGGUGGAGGAACUGUGGGUAGGGGUGAAAGGCCAAACAAACCUGGAGAUAGCUGGUUCUCUCCGAAACAUAUUUAGGUAUGGCCUCAGUGGAGAUUAUUGGAGGUAGAGCACUGAAUGGGCUAGGGGGCUUACACGCUUACUGAACCCAAUCAAACUCCGAAUGCCAAUAAUUGCUCACUGGGAGACAGGGCGCGGGCGAUAAGGUUCGCGUGCGAGAGGGGAACAACCCAGACUGUCAGCUAAGGCCCCGAAAUAGAUACUUAGUGCGUAAGGAUGUUCAAUUGCCCAGACAGCCAGGAUCUUGGCUUAGAAGCAGCCAUGAUUUAAAGAGUGCGUAACAGCUCACUGGUCGAGUGGUAGGGCACCGAAGAUAAUCGGGACUGAAGUAUCUUGCCGAAGCUGCGGACUUGCAUAUAGAUGUGAGUGGUAGGAGAGCAUUGUGAUUGCGCAGAAGGUGUAUUGUGAGAUAUGCUGGAGCGGUCACAAGAGACCAUGUUGGCAUGAGUAACGAUAAUGCGGGUGAGAAACCCGCACACCAUAAGCCCAAGGAUUCCUGAGUAAAGUUAAUCUUCUCAGGGUUAGUCGGUCCCUAAGGUAUAGCGAUAAGGCGAAGCUGAUGGGAAUCAGGUUAAUAAUCCUGAACCUGAGUAUUGAGUGAAGGAGUGACGCGACGGUGCUGCAAGGACAGCUGUUGGAAUAGCUGUUGAAUGCAGGUAGGAAGUGAGACAGGUAAAUCCGUUUCACAGAUAUUCCGAGAUGCAGGACGAGGCGUAAGCCGUAAAGCUUGUUUAGAGACGUUGCCGAGAAAUAGCUUCUAGCGUUAAUCAAUAUUCAGACCGUACCGCAAACCGACACAGGUGGGCGAGGAGAGUAUCCUAAGGUGUUCGAGUGAACUCUGGUUAAGGAACUAGGCAAAAUUACCCCGUAACUUCGGGAGAAGGGGUGCCCCGUUAUCGUGAUUAGUCAGCGCUAUGAGCGAGAGGGGGCCGCAGUGAAUAGGCCCAAGCGACUGUUUAUCAAAAACACAGGUCUAUGCGAAGGCGAAAGCCACGGUAUAUAGACUGACACCUGCCCGGUGCCGGAAGGUUAAGUGGAGAGGUUAGCCUGCACUAAUUUUAUCAUAGUGAAGGGUGAAAAGUGAAGAAUGUAAAAUUUACAAUGUAUAAUGAAUGUGAGAGAUGGUGAAAUUAGUGCAGGCGAAGCUUCGAAAUGAAGCCCCGGUAAACGGCGGCCGUAACUAUAACGGUCCUAAGGUAGCGAAAUUCCUUGUCGGGUAAGUUCCGACCUGCACGAAUGGUGUAACGAUUUGGGCGCUGUCUCAACCAGGGGCUCGGUGAAAUUGAAGUAGCGGUGAAGAUGCCGCUUACCCGCGAACGGACGGAAAGACCCCGUGAACCUUUACUGUAGCUUGGCAUUGUAAAUUGGUGCAGUAUGUGUAGGAUAGGUGGGAGGCUAUGAGGCGUGCACGCCAGUGUGCGCGGAGCCAGCGUUGAAAUACCACCCUUAUUGUAUUGAUUUACUAACGAUAGAGCAACUAUUGGACAUUGCCAGGUGGGCAGUUUGACUGGGGCGGUCGCCUCCGAAAGAGUAACGGAGGCUUACCAAGGUUCCCUCCGGCUGGUUGGUAAUCAGCCAAAGAGCGCAAAGGUAUAAGGGAGCUUAACUGCGAGACCGACGGGUCGAGCAGGUGGGAAACCAGGUCUUAGUGAUCCGGCGGUUCUGAAUGGAAGGGCCGUUGCUCAAAGGAUAAAAGGUACUCCGGGGAUAACAGGCUGAUACCGCCCAAGAGUUCAUAUCGACGGCGGUGUUUGGCACCUCGAUGUCGGCUCAACUCAUCCUGGGGCUGAAGAAGGUCCCAAGGGUUCGGCUGUUCGCCGAUUAAAGAGUUACGCGAGCUGGGUUCAGAACGUCGUGAGACAGUUCGGUCCCUAUCCUUCGUGGGCGUAGGAAAUUUGAGGAGCACUGCAUUUAGUACGAGAGGACCGGUGUGGACGAACCUCUGGUGUACCGGUUGUGAUGCCAAUUGCAUUGCCGGGUAGCCAAGUUCGGUUAGGAUAACCGCUGAAAGCAUCUAAGCGGGAAGCCAGCUCCGAGAUAAGAUUUCCCCAUAGAGAGGUUGGAGACGACAACCUUGAUAGGUUACAGGUGUAAGCGCAGUAAUGCGUUGAGCCGAGUAAUACUAAUAACUCAAUUGGCUUUCAC